GACGAACGCUGGCGGCGUGCUUAACACAUGCAAGUCGAGCGGUAAGGCCUUUCGGGGUACACGAGCGGCGAACGGGUGAGUAACACGUGGGUGAUCUGCCCUGCACUUCGGGAUAAGCCUGGGAAACUGGGUCUAAUACCGGAUAUGACCUCCUAUCGCAUGGUGGGUGGUGGAAAUAUUUAUCGGUGCAGGAUGGGCCCGCGGCCUAUCAGCUUGUUGGUGGGGUAAUGGCCUACCAAGGCGACGACGGGUAGCCGACCUGAGAGGGUGACCGGCCACACAGGGACUGAGACACGGCACAGACUCCUACGGGAGGCAGAAGUGGGGAAUAUUGCACAAUGGGCGAAAGCCUGAUGCAGCGACGCCGCGUGAGGGAUGACGGCCUUCGGGUUGUAAAACUCUUUCAGCAGGGACGAAGCGCAAGUGAAGGUACCUGCAGAAGAAGCACCGGCUAACUACGUGC
RNAcentral lists this ribosomal RNA (463 nucleotides) under uncultured bacterium. RNAcentral describes it as "partial 16S ribosomal RNA". It matches the Rfam family "Bacterial small subunit ribosomal RNA", at positions 28 to 508 of the family's 1533-position model. The record is from RNAcentral.